This 2276-nucleotide long non-coding RNA is filed under the name Homo sapiens (human). RNAcentral's name for it is "HSALNT0030267". Lineage: Eukaryota; Metazoa; Chordata; Mammalia; Primates; Hominidae. The record is from RNAcentral.
GGAAAGCUUUAAGUACUGAAUGUAAAGUUCUCUAUCAGCUAUCUGGUGAAUCUCUCCUAUGCACAGUGUUGUAAUAUAUCCAGGUGAGAGGUGGAGCCCAAGGAGUGUCAUACAGGCUGGUUAUUCGUUUCCAGAAAAAACAGACACUGAUAGUAGAACUGUGGAGAAGUAUCCCUGGAGAUGACCCACAAUCUCAAGAAGGCUGAAGAGGAGAGGAAGAGAAUGGAUAAAUCGAAACAAGUGUUUAGAUGAUCAAGGCCUUAUAAGCCAUACUAAGGUCCAAGACAUUGUGGAACAGAGACAAGCCAUUUCUACUGUGUCCUUAUUGAAUACCUGGCCCACAGUAUCCCUGACCAUAACAAAAUGCUACCCAUCAAAUAAGAGAACCCAUUGCAGAACCAGAAGGGACAUCAUCCAAGCUGUCUGAAAUCCCGGUUGGUACUCCAGGCUUCAACAACUGCAGCACAAUGAGAGACAGCAAAGAACAUCCUGGCCUUUGACAACCCCCUGUCUUCUAACAUACUGAGGUUAAUCAGACCGAGGACAAUUUGGAAGGGGCUCUCUGCCACAACUUGGGGAGUGGAGACAGGACGGGGGAGGAGCCAAGAUGACCGAAUAGGAACAGCUUCGGUCCACAGCUCCCAGCGUGAGCGAUGCAGAAGACGGGUGAUUUCUGCAUUUCCAACUGAGGGACAUGGAUGAAACUGGAAACCAUCAUUCUCAGCAAACUAUUGCAAGGACAGAAAACCGAACACCCCAUGUUCUCACUCAUAGGUGGGAAUUGAACAAUGAGAACACAUGGACACAGGAAGGGGAACAUCACACACCGGGGACUGUUGUGGGGUGUGGGGAGGGGGGAGGGAUAGCAUUAGGAUAUAUACCUAAUGCUAAGUGACGAGUUAAUGGGUACAGCACACCAACAUGGCACAUGUGUAUAUAUGUAACAAACCUGCAUGUUGUGCACAUGUACCCUAAAACUUAAAGUAUAAUAAUUAAAAAAAAAAAAAGACAGGACGAUAAUACACAUUUGGUGAUACAAUUAAGAAACAUGAUAUUGGAAAGUUGCUGACCAAGUGCCACCUAGCAUUCCUUCUCUUGUACUAGCCACAUGCCCACUCCUCAUGGCUACUGCUAGCCUCAUCUAAGAACUGGGGACCCAGCCUGGCAGGAUAAGUGUGGCUCCAUGCUUUAAGCCAGAGAAUUUAGGAGACUAUGAUCUGUUGCUGUGUCAAUCUGAAAGCUGAGGGAUCUGAAGGGUACGUGGUACCCAUUCUCUGACUCUCACUCCCAAAAGUCCUUUUCUCCCUGGGUCAACAUACGGUUGGUGCCCAAGGCCCUUCCUAGGAAUUGGAAGCCAACAGUGACACAAAGCACUUAGGAGGCACACAACCACAAAUGUGUGAGGUUUGCCUUCCCAUAUUUUCUGGACCCAUGUUCAAGCCUGGAACUCUCUAGUUCAUAAAGGGUUUUACUCUUGCAGGAGUCAGCAAACUAUGGCCUGUGGGUGGAGGGCCAGAUGGGGCCAUGCUCAUUCAUUUACAUACUGUCUAAUGGUUGCUCAAAAAUCACAGAGUUGAGUAACUAAGACAGACUGGAAGGCCCACACAGGCAAAAAAUGUACUAUCCGGACAUCCACAUAAACAGUUUGCAGGCCACUGAUUUAGAGUAAGACCAGUUCUCCUGGGGGCAAUGGAUUGUCUUUCUUUGCUUUCAGCCUGACCAAUGCCCGUGGGUAGGGAUGGAGAGGGAGCCCAUCUCUCUAGUUGAUUCUGAUGAGAAGAACCAGGGUGACCCACCUGGAAUGUGAGCCUCUGAUCUUCCAGGCAUCUGGCAUGCCCAUUUCUUCCACAGAGCAGGAUAGAAGCUCCUCCCAGCAGGGGGUCUUGACUAUUUGAGACCACUGUAAAAGAAAAGUAAGAACAAGUGAUUCACGUUUGUGUUUCCUGUAAAAAGAACAUGGUUGUCAGUGCUAUUAACCUGGUUACCACUGACUUUGACGCAGAUACAGCCGGUUCAUGUUUCAGAACUUCAUGAAACAGGCCUGUGCCUUCAAUCAGAGGCAGCCCAAAAGACAAAAUUGCCAACACUUUCUAUUUGCAGUGGCCCAGGAAUUAUCAAAUAACCUUAGUUCCUAUUAAACUCCUGCCUAUUUACCAUUGCCUAAACCUGGAGGCAAAAUCUAAAUCCAAACCAUCACAGGUAAUCUCCAAUCUCACAUACUUUUCCAAAAGAUUCAUGUGUUAGGAAAGGAUGAUUGAUGGCUCAAAAGUCACCAG